RNAcentral lists this ribosomal RNA (497 nucleotides) under uncultured bacterium. Its description in RNAcentral is "partial 16S ribosomal RNA". It matches the Rfam family "Bacterial small subunit ribosomal RNA", at positions 28 to 507 of the family's 1533-position model. The record is from RNAcentral.
GAUGAACGCUGGCGGCGUGCCUAAUACAUGCAAGUCGAGCGAACAGACGAGGAGCUUGCUCCUCUGACGUUAGCGGCGGACGGGUGAGUAACACGUGGAUAACCUACCUAUAAGACUGGGAUAACUUCGGGAAACCGGAGCUAAUACCGGAUAAUAUAUUGAACCGCAUGGUUCAAUAGUGAAAGACGGUUUUGCUGUCACUUAUAGAUGGAUCCGCGCCGCAUUAGCUAGUUGGUAAGGUAACGGGUUACCAAGGCAACGAUGCGUAGCCGACCUGAGAGGGUGAUCGGCCACACUGGAACUGAGACACGGUCCAGACUCCUGCGGGAGGCAGCAGUAGGGAAUCUUCCGCAAUGGGCGAAAGCCUGACGGAGCAACGCCGCGUGAGUGAUGAAGGUCUUCGGAUCGUAAAGCUCUGUUAUUAGGGAAGAACAAAUGUGUAAGUAACUGUGCACGUCUUGACGGUACCUAAUCAGAAAGCCACGGCUAACUACGUG